This 301-nucleotide ribosomal RNA is filed under the name uncultured bacterium. RNAcentral's name for it is "partial 16S ribosomal RNA". It matches the Rfam family "Bacterial small subunit ribosomal RNA", at positions 509 to 809 of the family's 1533-position model. The record is from RNAcentral.
CAGCCGCCGCGGGAACACGUAGGGUGCAAGCGUUAAUCGGAAUUACUGGGCGUAAAGCGUGCGCAGGCGGUUUGUUAAGACAGAUGUGAAAUCCCCGGGCUCAACCUGGGAACUGCAUUUGUGACUGGCAAGCUAGAGUGUGGCAGAGGGGGGUGGAAUUCCGCGUGUAGCAGUGAAAUGCGUAGAUAUGCGGAGGAACACCGAUGGCGAAGGCAGCCCCCUGGGCCAACACUGACGCUCAUGCACGAAAGCGUGGGGAGCAAACAGGAUUAGAUACCCCAGUAGUCCCUGUCUCUUAUAA